This 861-nucleotide ribosomal RNA is filed under the name Triticum aestivum (bread wheat). RNAcentral's name for it is "partial small subunit ribosomal RNA". Lineage: Eukaryota; Viridiplantae; Streptophyta; Magnoliopsida; Poales; Poaceae. The record is from RNAcentral.
GAUUCCUUGUGCGCUUCUAUCCUACGUGCAUAAUAUUACCCAGAUGAUGAUCUGUUAAAUGCAAAGUUAAAAAAAGACUCUUCCUUCACAUGGCAAAGUAUAAUGGUAGGCACAAAUACACUGAAACGUGGCUACAUUUGGCGAGUGGGGAACGAACACAACAUCAAUAUCUGGGAAGAUACCUGGAUCCCAAACAAUGCAACUAGGAAAAUUGUAACGCCUAACGGAGGGAACAUGAUAACUAAGGUAGGUGAUCUCAUUGAUCCUGCUUCUAAUACUUGGGAUGAAGACCUGAUUGAACAAACUAUGUGGUCAAUCGAUGUACAAAGGAUUCUUUUAGUUCCCCUACCGCAACAUGAUAUGCAAGAUUUCAUUGCCUGGAAUUAUCAAAAAAAUGGUAUUUUCUCGGUUCGAUCAGCCUAUUUUCUGGAGUGGGAUCACCAGUAUGGAAGUAAACUGAAACACUCUAAUGGGAUGGGGCGAACCACAGCUAACCCUAUUUGGAGUAAGAUAUGGAAGUUAGCCUGUCCGGCAAAAGUUAAAAUUUUCUUAUGGCGUACGCUACAUGGUACAAUCCCAUGCCGAGUUACGCUAGCAAACAGACAUAUGAAGAUCUCACCCAUCUGCCUCACGUGCUUGGAGGGUUUAGAAGAUACAAAACAUAUGCUCUUCCGCUGUAGUAAAGCAAAGGAGGUCUGGAAGAGGCUAGGGAUGGAUGAUAUUAUUGAUAAAGCUUGUGAAGUUGACCGUGUGGGAGAGGCGGUGUUAGAGUAUCUACUAGUCCUACCAGAUCAACAUUUGUGGAUAUUGGGUUACCAUAAUGUACGUGAGAUGAUUGCCAUUUCAACAUGGUACCUAUGA